UGGGGAAUAUUGGACAAUGGGGGGAACCCUGAUCCAGCCAUGCCGCGUGUGUGAAGAAGGUCUUCGGAUUGUAAAGCACUUUAAGUAGGGAGGAAGGGCAGUAAGCGAAUACCUUGCUGUUUUGACGUUACCGACAGAAUAAGCACCGGCUAACUCUGUGCCAGCAGCCGCGGUAAUACAGAGGGUGCAAGCGUUAAUCGGAAUUACUGGGCGUAAAGCGCGCGUAGGUGGUUCGUUAAGUUGAAUGUGAAAGCCCCGGGCUCAACCUAGGAACUGCAUCCAAAACUGGCGAGCUAGAGUAGGGCAGAGGGUGGUGGAAUUUCCUGUGUAGCGGUGAAAUGCGUAGAUGUUGGAAGGGACACCAGUGGCGAAGGCGACCACCUGGGCUCAUACUGACACUGAGGUGCGAAAGCGUGGGGAGCAAACAGG
RNAcentral lists this ribosomal RNA (429 nucleotides) under Pseudomonadota bacterium. RNAcentral describes it as "Proteobacteria bacterium partial 16S ribosomal RNA". It matches the Rfam family "Bacterial small subunit ribosomal RNA", at positions 355 to 776 of the family's 1533-position model. The record is from RNAcentral. Lineage: Bacteria; Pseudomonadati; Pseudomonadota.